GUCUAAAUGCUUCUUUCCAUGUGAAUUACAAUGAUAUUGGUCAUAACUUUAUCAUAACAUGUCCAGUAAUGGAGCACCUUUUCAACAGCCAUGCAUUGCAGCAAUACAUACUUCUAUGCACACAGGUGGUACUUAAAGAAAAUCUAGUUCUAACAUUAUUUAGGGAUGACGUGAGACUUGCCAUUUAUAUUUGUCUAAUGAAACAUGUUAUCAAAUUGAAGAAGUUGACUAUUUUCUUGACUUUAAAAUAUGCAGUAUAUACUUCUGCAUGAGGAAUAUCAGCUCUAUGUUCUACCCAGAAUUUUGGAAUCAAAGAGGACGGCAAAAUCUAGACGCACCAAGCAAAAAGAAGCAGAUUUGGAAUAUAGUGUUGCAAAGCAGGUUGAAAAAAUGAUUAGGUAUAUUGAGAUGAUUUCUUUGGAGCAAUUCUUGACACCAUUUGUAGUUGAAGCCUUUAGAAUGGAAGAAUGUAUUUCACUAAUUUUUGUAUACAUUUCUUGUUUUGUAUUUAGUGAUAAAGGAAUCUGAAUUGGGCAUAAAUUAUGUUGUAAUAUGAUUUCUUAAGCCUACACUAGUAAACUAAAUUUUGUAAUUACAUUUGAGUAAUUAAUAAAAAUCUAUUUACAUUA
Humulus lupulus (European hop) is the source of this 629-nucleotide RNA transcript. It is a transcript of the gene named protein NAP1-like, with no coding region annotated. The transcript is spliced from 3 exons. NCBI's taxonomy places the organism in Eukaryota, Viridiplantae, Streptophyta, Magnoliopsida, Rosales, Cannabaceae. The record is from RefSeq and is a predicted model, not a curated record.